GAAAGCGUCUCAUUGAGUUUCUUUUUUUGCUCCAUCAGAUUGUCCUCACAAAUUGCUUGACUGAACAUUUUGGCAGUUUCAUGAAAUUGAGUAGCUAUCAUCCUUGAAGCACAAAUAGCCUCUGCAAUCCAUACUUCUACUUCUUUUCUUUGAAGAUUUCUUGCUUGUAGACUCAUCAGAAUUAAUGUCAUGUAUCAUGGAUGAACUAUCAAAAUUAAGAUCCUGAAGCCCAUCUUCAGCACCUUGAAGAAUAACAUCUUCUUUAUCAAGUUCCUAACGCACAACAGCUGCAGUUUGGGCAUCAUGACCAGUUGUCCUAUCUUUUCCAAAAAUUAUACUAAGAUCAUCAAACCAUGAAAAACGAUUAUAUCUUCACUUAGCAGCCUUUUCAUGAACCUGUAUAACUCUAAAAAUAAACGAGUCUAAUUUAUGGUCUGCAAAUACAUACAUAUGGCGCAAGGUAACACAAACCACCUCCGCUAGCUAUCCUUAUACAGGUCCAAGUCCAACACCAUAAGGCGGUUCAAAUUACCCAUGAACAAGCACAAAAUACUACGGAAUAUACAAACAAUAAAAGGCGGCUCAAUUAUCAGUGUAAAAUAAAAAAUUUCAUCCACAAGUUAAUAAUAACUAUAUAUGGCUCAAUACAAAUUGAUUACACACUUUUACUUUCUUUUUUUUUGAAGAGGAAAAAGGCUCAAUUAUUUAUGUGUGCAAAUUAGAAUGUCAUACAUAAAUGAUCAAUUAUUUGUGUACAAAUUAAGUUGUUUAUUUGUGGAUAAAAAUCUGAUUUGUACAUCAUAAGGCACCACCAACCAUGAGCUGAUCUAGAUGGUAUCAUCCCUUCAACAAAAAAAGAGAUGAUAUCACUUUAACUUUGCACCACAAUGAUCAGGAGAUCAAAUUUCAGCAAUACUGCAAACAAUAUAAGCAGAGCAGAGUUCCAAAGUGCACUUAAUUCAAAAUGAUAGUACCUCACCAAACAGAGCAGCAGCUUAACAAAAGUUCACAUAGCAGAAGCUGAACAAAAACAACUAAAGCAAAUAUUGACAGAAAAAAAGAUCAGAAGAAGAAGACAAAACAUCUUAACACAGAGUAAACAAAUAUUGACAGAAAUAACAACGUAUCAUAAAUGAUUCUUAUCAUAAGGAAAACUCCACCAAAACAGAAGCAAUAACUAUAUAACAUAGCAGCAUAUUAACCACUGACAUCAAUGCUAAUGAAGUGCUCAAUACAUAAGGUUCCACCUUUGACAUUACCAAUUUAUGUUGUAAAUACAAAACUUAAUCAAAUACCAAAAAGACAUUUUUAGCAUAAAACCAUCAAACAGAAACAUCAAAGCAGUCUUUUAUCAUUACAAGUUCAAAUGGUAAUAAUUCAGUCACACAAAUACAUUUAAGGUGAUAUCCCAAAAACAAAAUUCACUAAAAUUACAUCGGAGAAUGGAAAGGAAAAACCAAAACAGAAAAUAAAAGGAGUACAAUUAUAUACUUGUUAGUUAUCUUUGAGUCAAAUUAUCAAACAUUUAGAAGACAAAAAUGGAGGAUACUCUAGCAAAGCAAACAAAAACCCAAGCAAUUAAUGAAAUUAAACAUGGAAUUGAAAGAGUAGAGCAUACAUACAUAUACACAUGGAAUGAAAAUGAUAAAUCGAUAUUCAAACAGUCCAUUCUGAGAAUUUAAAGCUAGAUUCAAGUGCUAAUUAUGGUAUGUAGAUCAAUUAGGUAUGAGAACGAGAUUGGUGGAGAUAUUGAACGAGAAUGAUGAAGAGAACCAGAUUGAUAAUACCUUUAUUCUCCUUCAGCGAUUUGCUCGAUCAAUUGGAUAUGAGAACGAGAUUGGUGAUAACUUGCUUCUUCGAUCGGUGGGAGAAAGGUAGGGAUAAAAGGUACCAUGGUGUUUAAAGAAUUCUAUAUAAAAUAAAAUUAUUACCGAU
This 1935-nucleotide long non-coding RNA is filed under the name Panax ginseng (ginseng). Its description in RNAcentral is "long non-coding RNA (PGIN_LNC006807)". The record is from RNAcentral. Lineage: Eukaryota; Viridiplantae; Streptophyta; Magnoliopsida; Apiales; Araliaceae.